GCAAGUCGAACGAGACGGGAUGGAAUGACCCUUCGGGGGAAUGAAAUCCUAGAAAGUGGCGAACGGGUGAGUAACGCGUGGGUAACCUGCCCUAUGGAAAGGAAUAGCCUCGGGAAACUGGGAGUAAUGCCUUAUAAUAUACGAGAGUCGCAUGGCUUUUGUAUUAAACGCUCCGGUGCCAUAGGAUGGACCCGCGUCCCAUUAGCUAGUUGGUGAGAUAACAGCCCACCAAGGCAACGAUGGGUAACCGGUCUGAGAGGGCGAACGGUCACACUGGAACUGAGACACGGUCCAGACUCCUACGGGAGGCAGCAGUGGGGAAUAUUGCGCAAUGGGGGCAACCCUGACGCAGCAAUACCGCGUGAGUGAAGAAGGUUUUCGGAUCGUAAAGCUCUGUUAUUGGGGAAGAAAAAAGACGGUACCCAAGAAGAAAGUCCCGGCUAACUACGUGCCAGCAGCCGCGGUAAUACGUAGGGGACAAGCGUUGUCCGGAUUUACUGGGCGUAAAGGGCACGCAGGCGGUUUUUUAAGUCAGAUGUGAAAGGUACCGGCUCAACCGGUGACAUGCAUUUGAAACUGAAAGA
This 584-nucleotide ribosomal RNA is filed under the name uncultured Acetobacterium sp. Its description in RNAcentral is "bacterial SSU rRNA". It matches the Rfam family "Bacterial small subunit ribosomal RNA", at positions 57 to 640 of the family's 1533-position model. Lineage: Bacteria; Bacillati; Bacillota; Clostridia; Eubacteriales; Eubacteriaceae. The record is from RNAcentral.